RNAcentral lists this ribosomal RNA (696 nucleotides) under uncultured Lachnospiraceae bacterium. RNAcentral describes it as "bacterial SSU rRNA". It matches the Rfam family "Bacterial small subunit ribosomal RNA", at positions 64 to 776 of the family's 1533-position model. Lineage: Bacteria; Bacillati; Bacillota; Clostridia; Lachnospirales; Lachnospiraceae. The record is from RNAcentral.
UUAUUGAAACUUCGGUCGAUCUAAUUAUUUCUAGUGGCGGACGGGUGAGUAACGCGUGGGUAACCUGCCUUAUACUGGGGGAUAACAGCCAGAAAUGGCUGCUAAUACCGCAUAAGCGCACAGAACCGCAUGGUUCCGUGUGAAAAACUCCGGUGGUAUAAGAUGGACCCGCGUUGGAUUAGCUAGUUGGCAGGGCAGCGGCCUACCAAGGCAACGAUCCAUAGCCGGCCUGAGAGGGUGAACGGCCACAUUGGGACUGAGACACGGCCCAGACUCCUACGGGAGGCAGCAGUGGGGAAUAUUGCACAAUGGGGGAAACCCUGAUGCAGCGACGCCGCGUGAAGGAAGAAGUAUCUCGGUAUGUAAACUUCUAUCAGCAGGGAAGAUAAUGACGGUACCUGACUAAGAAGCCCCGGCUAACUACGUGCCAGCAGCCGCGGUAAUACGUAGGGGGCGAGCGUUAUCCGGAUUUACUGGGUGUAAAGGGAGCGUAGACGGCGCAGCAAGUCUGAUGUGAAAGGCAGGGGCUUAACCCCUGGACUGCAUUGGAAACUGCUGUGCUUGAGUGCCGGAGGGGUAAGCGGAAUUCCUAGUGUAGCGGUGAAAUGCGUAGAUAUUAGGAGGAACACCAGUGGCGAAGGCGGCUUACUGGACGGUAACUGACGUUGAGGCUCGAAAGCGUGGGGAGCAAACAGG